AGGGAGAUGUGGAGUUAUGGACCUGGGUACUCCGUGCUGGUGAACUCGAACUCCGUCUGGAACGGCCGGCCACAGAGGGUGACAGCCCCGUAGAGGUAAACCGUGGGAGAUUCCGGGUAUCCUGAGUAACGUGCGCUGGAUAUCGCGCGUGAAUAUGGGAGGCAUGAACUUCCAACUCUAAAUACAUCCUGAGACCGAUAGCGCAAUAGUAGCGUGAGCGAAACCUGAAAAGUAAACUUGACGGGAAGUGAAAAGAGCCUGAAACCAGACGAUAACAGGCGUGUGCAGCGUGUAAGGUCUUUGACCAGCGUUGCACUGUCCGUGUUGAAAAACGGGCCAGGGAGUUCUGGUCAAUGGCGAGGUUAAGCUGGAUUAUCAGCCUAGCCGCAGGGAAACCGAGAGUCCGCAGCCGCAAGGCGAGGGACGGGGUGCGUUCGCCCCCAGUCAUUGGUGGGAGACCCGAAGCCAGUCGAUCUAUACCUGACUAGGUUGAAGCCCUGGGAAACCAGGGUGGAGGACCGAACCGAUAUUGAUGUGCAAAUCAUUCGGAUUAGUUGGGCAUAGGGGUGAAAGUCCAAUCGAGGUUGGGAAUAGCUGGUUCCUCCCGAAACUACUCGCAGGUAGGUCUCGGUCGAGGUAGACGGUGCGGUAGAGCCACCGAUCAGGUGUUUAGCAUUCGAAAGGAUGCGACAUCUUGUCGAACUCCGAACGUGCCGUCGCCGCAGAAGCCGGGAAUCAGGGCAUCUGGGGUAAGCUCGGUGUCCGCAAGGGGAACAGCCCGGCCCGGAGUUAAGGUCCCUAAGUGCUGGCUAAGUGUUAAUCUAAAAAGGGCGUCCACGGUCUCAGACAACUAGGAGGUGGGCUCAGAAGCAGCCAUCCUUUAAAGAGUGCGUAACAGCUCACUAGUCGAGACUGCGGGCCUCUAAAAUGGACGGGGCUAAGCCAGCCACCGAUACUUCGGAGCACCGAAAGGUGAUCUGGUAGGGAGGCGUCGUGCGCGGGUCGAAGUAGGGCCGUAAGGUCCUAUGGACCGCGUUCGAAUGCGGAUCCUGGUAGGAGUAACAGCUAAGAUGGGUUAGAAUCCCAUCCGCCGAAAGGGCAAGGGUUCCUCGGCAAUGUUCGUCAGCCGAGGGUUAGUCGGUCCUAAGGGUUCUCUUAAUCGAAGAACUCGAAAGGGAAGCAGGUUUAAUAUUCCUGCACCACGUGGUUUUCGUCCAGCUUCUGACGCAUCGGGAUAAGCCUAGCAGGCUCACCAGCCUGUUCGAGCGCUAUAGUCCCUGGAGAGCCGUAAUGGCGAGAAGGGGAUCAAGGCGCAAGUGUAGGUGCAUUCCAAUUGGCCUAUUUCCCGGUGCCCGUGAAAAGGAAGCUGGAGCCACCCGCGUGACCGUACCUAGAACCGACACUGGUGCCCCUGGGUGAGAAGCCCAAGGCGUCGUGGAUAUAAUCUUCGCGAGGGAAUUCGGCAAAAUCGCCCCGUAUUUAAUAAAAACGCAUGUCAACGCAAGCCAGAAAUGGUGAGUAUGUUGGCUGAAGCCUGCCCAGUGACGGUAUCUGAAAACCGGGUUCAACCGGACGAAGGACCGUUAAACGGCGGGGGUAACUAUGACCCUCUUAAGGUAGCGUAAUACCUUGCCGCUUAAUUGGCGGCUUGCAUGAAGGCCCAACGAGUGUUCUACUGUCCCCGCGAAGAAUCCAGUGAAACUGAUAUACAGGCGUACAAUCCUGUACCUUCCUUCUGAAAGCGAAGACCCCGUAGAGCUUUACUGCAGCCUGUCGUUGUUGUACGAUUUCGAAUGUGUAGAGUAGGCGGGACCCGUUACCAGGGCGCGCCGCUAGGUGCGUUCCGAGGGGCCGAUGAAACACCGCCCUUUUGGGGUUGUACAACUAACCGCUACGGCGGAACACCGGUAGGUAGGCAGUUUGGGUGGGGCGCCACGCCCUCAAAAAGAUAACAAGGGCGCCCAAUGGUCGGCUCAGGUAGGUCAGAAAUCUACCGUUGACUGCAAGGGGAAAAGCCGGCUUGACGCGGAUCUGCUUAACGAGGAUCCGCGAUGCGAAAGCAGGGCCUAGCGAACCACUGAGCCUUAUUCGUGGGGGCCAGUGAUAACAGAAAAGUUACCUCGGGGAUAACUGAGUUGUCGCCAGCAAGAGCCCAUAUCGACCUGGCGGCUUGCUACUUCGAUGUCGUCUCUUCCUAUCCUGGCGGUGCAGCAGCUGCCAAGGGUGGGGUUGUUCGCCCAUUAAAAGGGAUCGUGAGAUGGGUUUAGACCGUCGUGAGACAGGUUUGUUGCUUUUUGAAGGAAGUGCGAUGGUGUCUGAGGGGAAGGUGCCUCUAGUACGAGAGGAACGAGGCAUCAUAGCCACUAGUGCAUCUGUUGUCCGGUAGGGCAUUGCAGAGCAGCCACGCUGUAGCAGAUAAAGGCUGAAAGCAUCUAAGCCUGAAACUGUCCCUAAAACGAGACACCUUCGAGGGCUCCCAUAGAAGAUGGGGUUGAUAGAGCUGGGGUGUAAGUCGGGAGCUUCGGCGACCGAUUCAGCCCGCAGCCACUAAUAGUCCGGAAUCUCGUGC
Molecule: ribosomal RNA, 2569 nt
Filed under: alkali sediment metagenome
Description: bacterial LSU rRNA
Rfam family: Archaeal large subunit ribosomal RNA
Source: RNAcentral